UUUUUUUUAUUUUUUAUAGUUUUUAAUUAUAGUUAUUUUAUCGUAUUUCAUUUUCUUUUUCAUCUAAAAUUCAUAUUAUAUAUCAUGCUUUUUACCAAUUAUUAUUAUUAUAUAAAGUUUAAUAAUUGUAAAUAAGUUAGCUGUUUAAAAAAAAAAAAAAAAAAAAAAAUUAUUUCCCUUAUUUAUUUACAAUUAAAAAUUAAUAAUAGACUCAACGCUAAUAAGAUUGUUCUUAAAGAUGAUAUUUUUUAUAGACACUCAAGUACUAAUUUAAGGGUCGUUUACAUGAUGCUUAUUUCUUAGUAAUUAGAUUAUAGUGGGCCGUUCGCGUAUUUGCUACUAAGGAAAAAAAAAAUAAACAUCAAAAAAACUAUUUUUUUUUUUGUUUGUGAGAUUUUAAAAUCACAACCGCCGAACUUAUUGGACAACUAUAGUUGGCUAUUUUAUUUGUUAACGGCUGAACUAGCAUUGUGUAAACGACAAAACCUAGUCGUCGACUCACUUAGCUCAACUAACUGUUCCUCCGUGAACGCCGUAUGUUUUCUAUUUCGUAUUGUAUUCUCCACUAGCUAUUCUCAUUAGGCAGUAGUCUACUCUUGUGGUAGUACUAGUCUACUAGUCUUGAGUAAAAAACCAAUUGGGUAAACGACCCUUUCACUACCAGCCAUUGUGAUAAUAAAACAUAUUUUAAUUUAGAAUUAUCGUUAUCAUUUGUACGGCGUCCAAUAUUAUGAUGUAGGAAACAUUCGUGUUUCACUCCGUCAGAGUCACGGACAACAGCAUAUAAUGUGAUAAUAUACGAUAAACUUUUUGAAAAAACCGGAGAGCAAUGUAGGUAAUGUUUUUUACCCGCAUACAAAUAUCUAUUGUCUCAUGCGAAUACCACUAACUAAGUAUCUCUAUCCAGCACAAGCAUUUUUCACAUUUUGUACACGUUUAUAAAUUUUAUUGUCUUCCAUGGAAAUAUUAUUGUAAUCAAUAUGCACAAUUUAAUGACGAGAGUCAUGGAUUUAUUAUACACACACAAUUUUUAACGUCGUUUGUAUUAUUAAAUAAUAAUAUAGCAACUAUCCCAAAGAUAAUAAUUUUUAUUAAAUUGUAUUUUUAUUUUUACUAUAUUACGCAUCAUAACUACAGACUGUACCGUUGGAAUUCCAUUUAUUUUCAUUUUUUUUUUUUUUUUUUUUACAUACAAUCGGUAUAAAUUAUUUUCGUGUAUCAUUCGCUACUACGAUUUCUAGACGUAUAAUAUAUUUUUGAAUAUGUACACAUAAUAUUCUGCAUAUGUAAACAAAACCGAUGUAUGUAAAUGCAUUUUUUUUUUUUUUUUUUUUUUUCUAAAUACUUGUAUGUUUCAUAUUAUAAUGUGUUCAAAUUUGUGAAAUGAUCGUGUUUGGCGGUUCCUAUGAAUUUUCGUGCUCGAACAAAACGUCCAACGCAAACAAUUGUUUCGAAACGUUGACUUUAAAAAAAAAAAAAAAAAAAAAAAAGAAAAAAAAAAAAAGGGAUAAAUUAUAUUCUUAUAACAAUAAUGAUAUUAUUACGCAUUUGAGCACAUUUCUUUUGGUAAAUUAUUUAUUACGUAUUUACUAUUAACUACACACAGAAAUAGCUGAAGGAGAUUAUCAUAGCUGAUUACAUUCUCAAUAUAAUUAUUAUUACUCGUUAAAAUUGUAAUUUUAUUUUUUAUUAUUAUUAUUGUUAGGUCGUCGCGUACAAUGACAUAAUAUUUGAAUUAUUGUCUUAGACGAAACCUCCAUAUUAUUAUUAUUAUUAUUAUAAAAUAAUAGAACUAGUUGAAAAACAUAUAUACUUACAUUAUAUAUUUUAUUUAUCACUCAAAUUUAUUCUAAAACUAAUUGUAAGUAAAGUAUAUUGUAUCGUGAUUAAUAUUAUUUUAUUGAGAUGUUUCUAAAUAUUGUUUUUUUUUUUUUUUAUGUCAAAAAUUAUUAUAAUAAUAAUAUUAUUAUUAUUAUUAUUAUAGUCUGCCGUUGUUGUUCCACUGAUCGUUUUGUAUUAUUAUAAUGCGUUAUAUUUUAUAACAGAACAGAACAACAGAACAGAUUGUAAAAUAAUAUUAUAGAAGAACUAAAUUUUUUUAAUUCGAUCUUAGUUUUCCAAAAUCAAAUUAUUUUAUGUAGUUAGGUUAUGGUAUAGUUCAACAAAUUAAAUAUGUAAAGUUUAAAUAUAUUUGACUGUGCUUAGUUUAUUUUUCUAUUAAAUAUUAUUAUUGUCGCGUCAUAAAAUGUAUAGGCGAUAACGAUUCCAUUGUAAAUUUUAAUAUGCUAAAAUUAACAUUCCAACGUUUCUAAAAAAAAUUUGAAAAUCCAAAAAAAAAAAAAAAAAGAAAUAAGAACGAAAUAUCGAGUACACGUGUAGUUGUAUAAUUUUUUAACUGUUAGUAAUUUUAUCGAUUUAUACUUAUAUAUAUAUAUAUAAAAAAAAAAAAAAAAAUUAUUUGUAUUUUAUAUCUUUUUUUUCUUUUUUAUAAUAUUAUAUUUAUUUUAUUUACUUAGGAGAGUAGUUUUAAUAAAAGUCGUUUAUAUUCUAGAGCUUGGCACUAACUUGUAUGAAAACGUAAAAGGCAACGAGACUGUAGAAGAAGCUCUGAGAUAUUAUAAAAAUAUUAUAUUAUAUUGCAUGCUAAAUUUUAAAAUUAUCGCAUAAAUUGUAUAUUCGUAUGUAUAUCUACGCGUAAGUUAGCAUGUGAAAGUUCCAUUUAUUUAUAUAACUAAACAUUUUUUUUCUUUUAUUAUUAUUAUUAUUAUUAUUUGUAAGUGAAAUCAAACCAAACGUACUGAUGAUUGCAUAUACCUAAUAUUAAUUACGGUUAUUAUAAAAUGGUUAAUAGUUUACAUAUUAAAUAAAAAAAAAAAA
This is a non-coding RNA of Cinara cedri, 2877 nucleotides long. Lineage: Eukaryota; Metazoa; Arthropoda; Insecta; Hemiptera; Aphididae. The record is from the annotation of a GenBank genome assembly.